RNAcentral lists this long non-coding RNA (269 nucleotides) under Lathyrus oleraceus (garden pea). Its description in RNAcentral is "Pisum sativum (pea) long non-coding RNA (PSAT_LNC017640)". Lineage: Eukaryota; Viridiplantae; Streptophyta; Magnoliopsida; Fabales; Fabaceae. The record is from RNAcentral.
AGAGGGUCGUUUGACAAAAGAUGCAAUUUCAUCAAGCGGAACGAAGAAGUAUGGAAACAGUUUCCAGAAAAAUAAAGAAUGGGAUAUUAAUGUUAUUUCUCAAGGGGGAGGCAAAGAAGACCCAAAAAUGGAAGUAAUCAUCAGAACCAGUCUCAACAACAAUAUUAUCAACAACCUCAUGUUGUCGCAGUAACUCAGAUGGUUAGUCCAACUCCUGUUGUUCAGACUUAUCAAUACAGUUUCAACAGAAUCAACAGUCUAAUCAAAAU